Molecule: long non-coding RNA, 1127 nt
Filed under: Ursus maritimus (polar bear)
Lineage: Eukaryota; Metazoa; Chordata; Mammalia; Carnivora; Ursidae
Description: lncRNA (ENSUMAG00000016717.1)
Source: RNAcentral
AAAUUUCCUAAAGGCCUGGAGACUUUGGCAUGUAGUACCGAGCCGUUAAAUUCUAGAGCGAUUUCAUUUGUGCCAGCUACUUACCAUCACCAACAUCAAACUUGUGUAACUACACUGCAGUUUUACUUCUGAAAAUGAGCUUUUCUUGGACUGAAUAGGUGCAGAGGGUAAACGGCAAGAAGAGAUCUGAUCUGCUGCGCAGAAAGCCAAAGGGAAGUAUUCAUAGGAGGCUCAAUCAUAAAGAUCUCCUCAAAGACAUUUGGCAGAACGAUUUCCAUGUCCCGGGUUGCCAUUACCAGGUUUGCAACAACAGACUAAGCAAACUCACUUCAUAUGAGGCCUUCUGAAACAAUCAUUAGGAACCAAGACGUCUCAAAGGUCAUAAAGUGAAGAGUGAUGAUCUCAGAGCGCAACAUGGGGACAGAACUCCACUGGUGGGUGCUGCUUAUUUUGCCUACAAAUUCGGAAUGCGGAGGUCAUGAUGCUCUCCUGAAUCGAUGGCAUUACUGGACAAAUUCUUUUUUGUCAGGUGCAGUUCCUCUGCUCAGGUGGGAGCACCAGAAAUCCAGUGGUACAUGGAAUUCUCAUUGAAGUUAGAAGAUAUUCGACAAUGCGUGAAUGAAAACUAGAACAACAGGGGCCAUGACGGCUUGGCUCCUGUACCUCCUUUCACAGCUCCUCCCAGGAUCUAGCACCGCGCAUCCUUUCCACCGGACGGCUCAUAGAUGCUGCCGACUGCUAACAAUUACGUGACAAUGCAGAAGCAAUAUCAUUUAUAUAAUUUGAUUAGCUGCAUGGAAUUGUAUGCGCAGACGUUUUUUCCUAAUGGAAGAAUUUUAGUCUGUAAAACUGGUUGAACUAAAGAUUCAAAUAUAAAAGUAUAGACUUUGCCCAUGAUGCUCUCUACCAUUCCAUCCUUCACUCGUUUAUUCAUUCAUGCUUCAAAUAUGCAUUGAGUGGCUACUAUUUGUCAGACAUUCUUUUAGGCGCUGGGUGUACCAGUUCCUGCCCUCAAAAAAUGUUAGUUAUAAGACAGGUAACAGGCGUUUCUCAAAAUUGUGGUUUAUUAAAAAUUAAUAGUUGAACUGGUCUAAUUUUGAUUUAGCUGGGGCAGAUUUCUUGUGUUU